Molecule: ribosomal RNA, 330 nt
Filed under: uncultured eukaryote
Lineage: Eukaryota
Description: partial 18S ribosomal RNA
Rfam family: Eukaryotic small subunit ribosomal RNA
Source: RNAcentral
CCCUUAGAUGUUCUGGGCCGCACGCGCGCUACACUGAUGCAUUCAACGAGUCUAAAACCUGCUCUGAUAGGGGUGGUUAAUCUUUUGAAUGUGCAUCGUGAUUGGGAUAGAUGAUUGCAAUUUUUCAUCUUCAACGAGGAAUGCCUAGUAAACGCAAGUCAUCAGCUUGCAUUGAUUACGUCCCUGCCCUUUGUACACACCGCCCGUCGCUCCUACCGAUUGAAUGAUCCGAUGAAUAUCAUAGACUGAGAGUAUAAGCAGGUUCGCCUGUCUUUGCUUCUCGGGAAGUGAAGUAAAUCUUAUCAUUUAGAGGAAGGAGAAGUCGUAACA